Heterocephalus glaber (naked mole-rat) is the source of this 1869-nucleotide non-coding RNA. NCBI's taxonomy places the organism in Eukaryota, Metazoa, Chordata, Mammalia, Rodentia, Bathyergidae. The record is from RefSeq and is a predicted model, not a curated record.
CUGAUGACUUCAUGGGCUGGAAAAAUCUGAUUUGGGUCUUUAAAUCCCAGGGUCUCCAGUCCGCUGAAAUCUCCCCAGCCCCCCAGCUCUCUGCUUCUGCAGUCUCUGCCCCAGGCUGAGGGCAUCCGGGCGGCCCUGGCUACACCAAGGCCCCGUCUCAGCUCUGCAGUGAGCGCCUGACGGAGGAGCUGAGUGGUGGUGGGGCCCGGGCCCGUGGGGGACGAGGAGGUCAGAGGAGCAAAAGGGACAAAUAGAACAAGGGAGAGAAGCAACUUUGAUGCCCCUCCCCACCCGCCCCGGAGGAGGAGGUCCCAGAGAACAGGCCGCCCACCUCGAGGGCUGACCACCCUCGUCUUUCACACUGCUACGGUGCUCGUUGUUCGGAUCCGUGAGUCGACCAGAACCCCAGCAUCACUACCACACUGCAAUUUGCUUCUGCCUCAAUGAUGAACAGAUUAGCACAGCGCACCAUCGAGCCACAGCCAGGAAGUGGCCUGAAACCUCAUGCAGGACCUGAGCAACCCAAGCAGGGUCCCGCCGUCCCUCACUUCCGGAUGACACAGAGGGAGAUGAAGUUGAAGCAGACAGCCCACGAGCCUGUGGUCAUGUCAUCCUCAGAUGAUAAAGAUUGGGAAGCCAAGGAAAAUACAUCUACAGUUUUGCCAAGAUCUUUCUCUGUUUCUACAAAAUAAUCUCACUGAUUAACUCCAGAAGUAGAGACAAUUAGAGUGAGACAAAAGACAUGAGCUUCUUAUCUCCAAGAACAUAAACAGUACAUGUCACAGGUGACCUCACUCAGGGGUGGCAGCAAGGUGAAGACAUAAUGGCACGUAAAGCCUGCACACCUCUGUUGACACAGUGACUGGUGGCCCAGCCUGUGCCACCAUUGGCUGUUCAGCAGCCAGGACACGAGGGUGUGGUCUCCUAAGACAAUACCUCAACAUUACUUUUAGAAAAAGGACCUUAGUUCCUGAGCCUAUGGAUAUUCUAUGGAGUAAAAGGUCACAAGCAAAACCAUCAAGAGGAAAAUUAUGGCUAAAAUAGAAAUCACAACUGUGAGAGUUGUUUCUGAAAGGAGGUGAAGGAGCAUAGGUAGACUACUGUACCUCUCAAUUUCCUUAGCAACAACCCAAAUAAAGGACAAAAGGCAGGUCAAUCGGGUUAGCCUGUAAUCUGACCCAAGGACAAAUUAAAAGUACAUUUCUUUUUCACAAAUGAAACUCUAACAGAAGAUAAUAAUCACAGCUGAGGACAUGAAUGACCAACGCCCUCGAACUCAGAGUAAGAGAUUGUCCGCCGGCCAUGGAGACAGCCUUGCCAGCAAAGGGCCCUGGGAGUCUCAAUUUCCUGCUUAGGGUGGUUGUAGCAAAGUCUAAGCACAUGAACUAUAUUUUCUAUACCAAAAGCUCCUUCUAUAGGACAAGCACCUACACAAGCUCUGGCUCAGUCCUGAUGCAGGCCCAGCUCACAGUGAAGAGGAGCCAAAGUCUUGCCCAGAUAAUGUUGCCAGGUUCUGGGGUGCUGGAGUCUCCUCCUAGAGGUGGUCUCUAGGUUCUUUCUGUUCUGAACAAAGAAUUGGACAGAACAAACACAAACGGUAGCAAGGUUUUAUAUUUAUUAAAGGUAGGGAAAGAAACAUGCUCUGCAGAGUGAGUUUGGGCCAAGAAAAAGUAGGGGAAAAGGUACACUCUACAACAUGAGAAUGGACUGCUGUAGCCCUGGGCUCAACAGCAACCAUCUUUUUGCAUCUCCCUCUUCUCAGGGAGGUCUAGGCCAUCCUAUCCAAACCUCGAAUUCUCAUGAGAAGUCCAUGUGCAGGGCUUUGGAAACUGUUCUGCCCCUGUGUCCUGGAACUUUAUAAUUAACAGG